GACGAACGUUGGCGGCGUGCUUAAUACAUGCAAGUCAACUGAAGCAGUGGUAGCAAUAUCGCUGUGGAGGUGGCGCACGGGUGAGUAACACGUAGGUAAUCUGCCUUCAGGUCUGGCAUAACUCCGGGAAACCGGGGCUAAUAGCAGAUGAUGCAGCGGCUCGACAUCGGGACAGUUGUUAAAGCUAUGGCGCCUGAAGAUGAGCCUGCGUCUGAUUAGCUAGUUGGCGGGGUAACGGCCCACCAAGGCAACGAUCAGUAGCUGGUCUGAGAGGAUGAUCAGCCACACUGGAACUGAGACACGGUCCAGACUCCUACGGGAGGCAGCAGUAAGGAAUAUUGCUCAAUGGGAGAAAUCCUGAAGCAGCAACGCCGCGUGAGGGACGAAGGGCUUUUGCUUGUAAACCUCUGUAGUGAGAGAAAAAAAUCCCAAUCUUUGGGACAUGAUGGUAUCUCAAAAGUAAGCCCCGGCUAACUACGUG
This 481-nucleotide ribosomal RNA is filed under the name uncultured bacterium. RNAcentral's name for it is "partial 16S ribosomal RNA". It matches the Rfam family "Bacterial small subunit ribosomal RNA", at positions 28 to 507 of the family's 1533-position model. The record is from RNAcentral.